GGGGGUAUAGCUCAGGUGGUAGAGCACAUGCUUAGCACGCAAGAGGCUCUGGGUUCCAUUCCCAGUACCUCCA
RNAcentral lists this transfer RNA (73 nucleotides) under Camelus bactrianus (Bactrian camel). It matches the Rfam family "tRNA". From Rfam's summary of the family: Transfer RNA (tRNA) molecules are approximately 80 nucleotides in length. Lineage: Eukaryota; Metazoa; Chordata; Mammalia; Artiodactyla; Camelidae. The record is from Rfam by way of RNAcentral. RNAcentral also lists the same sequence under 2 other names.